RNAcentral lists this transfer RNA (77 nucleotides) under Aminipila luticellarii. RNAcentral's name for it is "Aminipila sp. JN-18 tRNA-Arg". It matches the Rfam family "tRNA". Rfam says of the family: Transfer RNA (tRNA) molecules are approximately 80 nucleotides in length. Their secondary structure includes four short double-helical elements and three loops (D, anti-codon, and T loops). The record is from RNAcentral. Lineage: Bacteria; Bacillati; Bacillota; Clostridia; Peptostreptococcales; Anaerovoracaceae.
GCGCCAUUAGCUCAGCUGGAUAGAGUAGCAUACUACGAAUAUGAAGGUCGGGGGUUCGAAUCCCUUAUGGCGCACCA